ACAGGUCAGCCAAUGGGGACUGUUUGGAAGUAUUUGUUUGUAUGGGGCCAUAAGAGACAGUUUGGAGUCUGGGCGUGGCUUGGACUUGCUGAACUGUAUAGAAGAGUUGGUUUGGCUUCUGUGAGGUAGAAAUGAGAACAAUGCAGCUUUGGCUUUUGGAAGAACAAUUGCUUUCAGGAUGGCCUGCAUAUCUGUGGCAUUUACAUUCUUCCUUCAACUUGAGAAAAACAGUACAGAUCCUAGAAGAACCCUCUCUGGCACACAUACUGUGACUUUUGAAGUGGUGACUUUUGAAGUGGAAACCUGGUUUUGAAAAAUCCUUUAAUCCGGAGAGUAGCAAGAGAUGUGCUUA
Pantherophis guttatus is the source of this 352-nucleotide long non-coding RNA. RefSeq lists it as uncharacterized. The record is from RefSeq and is a predicted model, not a curated record. NCBI's taxonomy places the organism in Eukaryota, Metazoa, Chordata, Lepidosauria, Squamata, Colubridae.